This 440-nucleotide ribosomal RNA is filed under the name uncultured bacterium. Its description in RNAcentral is "partial 16S ribosomal RNA". It matches the Rfam family "Bacterial small subunit ribosomal RNA", at positions 339 to 795 of the family's 1533-position model. The record is from RNAcentral.
CUACGGGGGGCAGCAGUGGGGAAUUUUGCGCAAUGGGGGAAACCCUGACGCAGCAAUACCGCGUGAGUGAAGAAGGCCUUUGGGUCGUAAAGCUCUUUUCUUGGGGAAGAUAGUGACGGUACCCAAGGAAUAAGCACCGGCUAACUCCGUGCCAGCAGCCGCGGUAAUACGGAGGGUGCAAGCGUUGUUCGGAUUUACUGGGCGUAAAGGGCACGUAGGCGGCACAGCAAGUUAAGGGUGAAAUCCCGGGGCUCAACUCCGGAACUGCUCUUAAAACUGCUGAGCUAGAGAUAGUCAGAGGCGGGUGGAAUUCCAGGUGUAGAGGUGAAAUUCGUAGAUAUCUGGAGGAACACCGGUGGCGAAGGCGGCCCGCUGGGGCUAUUCUGACGCUAAGGUGCGAAAGCGUGGGGAGCGAACGGGAUUAGAUACCCGUGUUAGUC